CCAGAGAACUUAGCAGAGAUGCUUUGGUGCCUUCGGGAACUCUGAGACAGGUGCUGCAUGGCUGUCGUCAGCUCGUGUUGUGAAAUGUUGGGUUAAAGUCCCGCAACGAGCGCAACCCUUAUCCUUUGUUGCCAGCGGCUCGGCCGGGAACUCAAAGGAGACUGCCGGUGAUAAACCGGAGGAAGGUGGGGAUGACGUCAAGUCAUCAUGGCCCUUACGGCCAGGGCUACACACGUGCUACAAUGGCGCAUACAAAGAGAAGCGACCUCGCGAGAGCAAGUGGACCUCACAAAGUGCGUCGUAGUCCGGAUUGGAGUCUGCAACUCGACUCCAUGAAGUCGGAAUCGCUAGUAAUCGUAGAUCAGAAUGCUACGGUGAAUACGUUCCCGGGCCUUGUACACACCGCCCGUCACACCAUGGGAGUGGGUUGCAAAAGAAGUAGGUAGCUUAACCUUCGGGAGGGCGCUUACCACUUUGUGAUUCAUGACUGGGGUGAAGUCGUAACAAGGUAAGCGUAGCGAG
RNAcentral lists this ribosomal RNA (522 nucleotides) under uncultured bacterium. RNAcentral describes it as "bacterial SSU rRNA". It matches the Rfam family "Bacterial small subunit ribosomal RNA", at positions 988 to 1509 of the family's 1533-position model. The record is from RNAcentral.